Molecule: long non-coding RNA, 2022 nt
Organism: Tribolium castaneum (red flour beetle)
Lineage: Eukaryota; Metazoa; Arthropoda; Insecta; Coleoptera; Tenebrionidae
Exons: 2
Source: RefSeq, a predicted model, not a curated record
UGUUUAGUUGGACUACAGAUUUUAGACAGCGAAUUUGUCAACGCGUUACCAACUGCUUGUUACUUACAUCAACGUAAACAAUUUCUUCUAAACGAUUUCAGAUAAAACUAACUAAAGUUACAAUAACAGAAAGAAAUUGCUUAUUAAAUUUAUUUUGUAGCUUACGUAAAGUCCGGGACAUUUCUAUUUGGACAUAAAAAAUUUGAAUUUUCUGACAUUUAUACGUGUAUUCAGCGUCUGUGUGAACAAAAAAUGUUCUCUCUCUCAUUCUAUGGUCCUUGAGCUUUAAUAACAGGGACAUUUUUUAAAUUGGUAGCAUUAGAAAAUGACAGUAAACAGCUGACUGAUGUAAACAAUAACACAAUAACAAAGGAAAUGUUAUAAUUUUAAUCUAUAUAACCAGUGGCUGCUUUAAAAGUGUGUACUAACGGGAUAAUAACAUAUUUACGCAAGUAUUUUUGAAGGUAGAAACAUUACUUGUCAUAUAACAACUACUCAGAUUAUAUGAUGAGACGGGAAUGGCACAAUACAGAAUUGCAGUCAGUGAUUGUGAUGGAGAAAGCCGCUGUGAAGUACUGACAGUACUGACUAUCGCUGGUUGUACGAUUUGUGCAAUUUGUGAUAUAUUUUGUGUGAAAAACUGGAAAAGAAAGUGCAUCACUGCAUAACCUCACUUAUCGCAGUUUUGCACAUUUUGAUGAUGGGAAUUGCGGUUCAAGUAAUUAUGAGUUAUAGAUGGAGAGCCCUGUUUACUUCAAACUGAAGCCUUUUGGGUCCACUUUGUUCGUUAUUUCCUGGCAGCCACUCUUGUUUCAAGCAGAGUGGGUGUAAAGUUAAAAAUAAUCCCGUAAAAUUGUUAAUAUAACUCCUUUGCACUGGCAUGGGGUAUUUGAAAACUUAUGUUUAACAAAUACGUCACAAAGUCUCAGCCAUCGUCGAAAAACAUAAUAAGGGCUUUAUAACAAGAAGCGCUUUCUGAUUUUACUGUGGACGUGUGGAAGAAUAGUGUGAAAUAUUGCGAAAAACCAACUUUUACUCUUGUUUACAUUUUUGUACGUCUAUCUGAGAGUAGUCUCUUGUAUAAAAAAUAUAGCCUACUAAUAAAGGAAAUUAAAGUGUUUUUAUUUCUGGGUUGCCCCCAAUUCCACUUCGCCCUUGCCUGAUAAUCAAGACACUGAUAAUGAAAUUGGUGUAAGUGCAUCGAAUACAAACGUGUUGAAUAGAUGAAUAAAAGAGAGACAACUGCUUUUUUCAAAAAGGCCAUUUCAAAUUUAUUCAAAAAGCACACCCCCACUGAAAAGGGUCCAUUCACGAUGAAGUUUGGCUUCCUGCAUGACAUAGGUUUCGGGCACCAAUCACACUGUAAAUGGUCUAAAUUGGUCUUACAUCUCUCAGACAUGGACUCACUGAGAGCGACUUCUGCAGUAGGCUUGAGGCCUGCCUGCCUGUCUCGCAACAAUCUCUGCAUUAUGAUUCCAAAUCAUUCUAUAAAACGCUGUCAAUUACAAGCCAUGAUAUGAGGCAUGAGGCCGUCUUAGUGUUUUCGAAUGUUGGUGCAAAGACUUGUCGCGAGGCAGGUUUCAGCCUUCCGCCAACGUCAGUCUCAGUGAAACCCUCUCAAAGUGAUCUCAGCGAAAACCAUUCACAAUGAGAUUGGUCUAUGAGGCCUAUGUCGUGCCGCAUGCAGCGAGAUAUGUCUCAUUGUUAAUGAAAAUAGGGCCUUUUUUGUUGUUUAAAGUCGUUUUUUAAAACUUUUGUGGCAAAUUUUACUGAUGUGGCAGAGAGGGGGCAUGCACUUGGAACAUGACGGUGACUACCCUGAAAGGCACUUCGAGGCUUUUAUGACCUUUUUAAUGCAAAUUUCAACUUUAAACCUGACAGUCAUACCAAGGUCAAACAUAACCUCAACAGUAAUCCAGCAACGGUACUUCAAAGCAUUUGAAAGUUUCUCCAUUUGUUUUUAAGUGUUCUAGUUGGUACAUUUUGCUGUACUUUACUACAAUAAAGAAAUAUUUAAAUUUU